RNAcentral lists this ribosomal RNA (253 nucleotides) under uncultured bacterium. RNAcentral describes it as "partial 16S ribosomal RNA". It matches the Rfam family "Bacterial small subunit ribosomal RNA", at positions 524 to 776 of the family's 1533-position model. The record is from RNAcentral.
UACGUAGGGGGCAAGCGUUAUCCGGAUUUACUGGGUGUAAAGGGAGCGUAGACGGCGAAGAAAGUCUGAAGUGAAAGCCCGCGGCUCAACCGCGGAAUGGCUUUGGAAACUUUUUUGCUGGAGUACCGGAGAGGUAAGCGGAAUUCCUGGUGUAGCGGUGAAAUGCGUAGAUAUCAGGAGGAACACCGGUGGCGAAGGCGGCCUGCUGGACUGCAACUGACGUUGAGGCCCGAAAGCGUGGGGAGCAAACAGG